Molecule: ribosomal RNA, 253 nt
Filed under: uncultured bacterium
Lineage: Bacteria
Description: partial 16S ribosomal RNA
Rfam family: Bacterial small subunit ribosomal RNA
Source: RNAcentral
UACGGAGGGUGCAAGCGUUGUCCGGAUUUAUUGGGUUUAAAGGGUGCGUAGGCGGUUUUUUAAGUCAGGGGUGAAAGUCUGCGGCUCAACCGUAGGAUUGCCUUUGAUACUGAGAAACUUGAGUACAGUUGAGGUAGGCGGAAUUGACAGUGUAGCGGUGAAAUGCUUAGAUAUUGUCAAGAACACCGAUUGCGAAGGCAGCUUACUAAGCUGAAACUGACGCUGAGGCACGAAAGUGUGGGGAUCAAACAGG